Molecule: ribosomal RNA, 253 nt
Filed under: uncultured bacterium
Lineage: Bacteria
Description: partial 16S ribosomal RNA
Rfam family: Bacterial small subunit ribosomal RNA
Source: RNAcentral
UACGAAGGGGGCUAGCGUUGUUCGGAAUCACUGGGCUUAAAGGGCGCGUAGGCGGGUCGGCAAGUCCGGGGUGAAAGCCCCCAGCUCAACUGGGGAAGUGCCUUGGAAACUGCCGGUCUUGAGGGAGGUAGGGGCCUGUGGAACUUCGGGUGGAGCGGUGAAAUGCGUUGAUAUCCGAAGGAACGCCGGUGGCGAAAGCGACGGGCUGGAUCUCUUCUGACGCUGAGGCGCGAAAGCCAGGGUAGCGAACGGG